This 7788-nucleotide long non-coding RNA is filed under the name Lactuca sativa (garden lettuce). RNAcentral's name for it is "long non-coding RNA (LSAT_LNC004171)". Lineage: Eukaryota; Viridiplantae; Streptophyta; Magnoliopsida; Asterales; Asteraceae. The record is from RNAcentral.
AAUAAUGGGCUCUGAACUAGAGCCUGAUCCUGAACCCAAUCUUGAUCCUAAACCCGAACCUCGCAUGAUCAUCACCAUCCUCAACUUAAAAAGAUACCACAUGAUAUAAAUUGAUAAGGAAGUUCGAAGGGGUUCCUCCUCACCGGAAUCCUUAGAGCUUCCAGGACAGACAUUUUUUUGGGUACAAGUCAUGUGCUUUUAGUUGUACGGGCCCAAUACUACCUUCCACACCUACCUGUACCUUCCCCAAGGCCAUACCAGAUACUGAUGGGUUUUAGCCAUAAGAACUUUCCUAUGUGCGCAUGCAAAACCCUAAUGCUUGGAUCUAGGCUUUCUAAUAAACAUGCUUUGAAUCCAAGACUUCUAAUUACUAAUUAGGUUAAAUAACAACAUUGAAACAGAUCUAGAAUCAUACCUUUGAGUUCCUUGUUGAUCUUGAGGUCUUGGAGCUUCUAGAGUCACAAAUGUCACUCCUCUAAUGGCUUACAAACACCAAUAGCAAGGAAGAUGAUUUAGGAGAGAGGAGAGGGAAGGAAAUCGGCCAGGGUUCUCUUACUUUAGGAGAGAUGCCGAUUUCCCUAUGCCAUGGGGUCUAUUUAUACUUGUAGACUCCUUAAGGGUUACAACCUAAACCCUAAUUGGAUAAUCUUCUCUUAAGGCUAUCCAAAUCCUUUCCAUAGAUAAGCCUUUGGACGAUUUUGGCUAUCCUAAUACUCUUAGAAUUCGUCCAAAGCAUAUCCCAAUGGAUUUACAGUCUAAAGCUUAACUAUCAAACAAUUGACAGUUUAUACCCCUUUAUUUAAUUAAUCUCUUUAAGUCACCAAAUUAAUUCUAAUUAAUUCUAUGACUUAUAUUAAUCAAAUAACAAAUAUAUUAUUCAUUAUAUUAUUCUCAUAAUAUAUUAAUAAUAUUUACUCUCUCUUAAUAAAUCAUCCUAUCAAGUUGCUAUGGUGAAGGCAACCCAAAAGGACCAUGCACAACCGGGUCAAAUACUUGCCUAAUAUAGUUGCAGCCUUAGACACUAUUCCAACAAUCUCCCACUUGGAUAAGUCUAGUAACUAUAUACACAAGUACAAUUCGGUUUGCAAUCGUAGCUCUCAAAGACGCUGUCAACUCUGAUCUAAUCAAUCUUGUCCUUUAGAUAAGGGAACGUACAGUCCUCUGUUAGAUAUCAUGCUGACAAUCCUAUGGAAUGGUUAGUCAAGCAUUUAGGUUUCUCGAUCUCUGAUUUAUUUGACAUAGAACUUAAUCGAACACAUCAAUUCAGUUCUGACCGGGCCCGGCACAUAAGUCAAAUCAAAUCAUCGAGCGGCCGAGAUAUCGCUUUUACCUUCUUAGAUAAAAGUUACAGAUAAACUUCGACUUAUAUGCAUUUACUUAUUCAUUAACCAACUAUACACAACAAUACGUUUUAUAACACCGAGUUACUGAUGCGUUUUCGCAUUAUCAAUGUACAAUCAAUUAACAAAUAAUAAACCAUAUAUCUAGGUUUUAAGACUAUAUGAUAUUAUCGUCUUGCGAUCACCCUUUUAUAUCAUAUUCCAUAAGGUGAUUCCAGCAAGCGCGGGUUUGUUCCAAUGCUCAAAACUAGUUCAUAAGCACUCAUGAACGUUGCAGCAACCCUUUGCUAUGUCUAACACCAUUUAGACAAUCUACACACCAAUUCAUGACAAUCUUCAUUCAUAUCUACUUCCAACAUAUGAACGAUUGUGGACAAUUUGAACAAUUCGAUUAUUCCUAAUAAACUCAAUUAUUCUGGAAGUCAAAACAUGCAAAGUGAAACAAUAGUUAAACAAUUAACAUAAGAUAGUAACAUUACUCAUAAAUAAAACUCCUUUAUUUAAUCAUCAAAUGUUAAUUACAUUUAUCUAUUACACGUUUCUAAUACUAUCUAAUCUAUGCUAAUAUCAUCCUUCAGCCCAAUACUCCUAGCAUGCUGCAAGUGCUUAACCCUACUCAGUCCCUUCGUAAGCGGAUCUGCUGGGUUAUCUUCUGAUGAUAUCCUCUUCACUACGAGUUGUCCUUCUUCUACACGAUGUCUAAUGAAGUGAUAUUUUCUGUCGAUAUGUCUUGAUCUACCAUGAUCCCUCGGUUCCUUGGUCAAGGCAACCGCUCCUUCGUUAUCACAGAAAAUCUCCAUGGGCUCCUUUAUGGCAGGUACAACUCCAAGAUCACCGAUGAAGUUCUUUAGCCAUAUUGCCUCCUUCGACGCUUCGCUCGCUGCAAUGUACUCUGAUUCGCACGUUGAAUCAGCUACGGUUUCCUGCUUGGAACUCUUCCAUGUCACUGCUCCUCCAUUUAGGGUAAAGACCCAGCCCGACUGCGAACGGUAGUUGUCCCUGUCGGUCUGAAAACUGGCGUCACUAUACCCUCGCACCUUCAAGUCAUCACUCCCUCCGAGGACUAAGAACCAUUCCUUCGUCCUCCGAAGGUACUUAAGGAUAUUCUUCACCGCAAUCCAAUGUGCUCUGCCAGGAUUCCCUUGAUAUCUGCUAACCAUGCUCAAAGCGAAGGCUACAUCAGGGCGAGUACAAGUCAUAGCGUACAUGAUUGAGCCAACUGCGGAAGCGUAUGGUACUCGGCUCAUUUCUGCUAUCUCAGCUUCGGUACUCGGACUUUGAGUCUUACUCAAUUUGGCAUUACUUUGUAUCGGUAGUUCUCCCUUCUUUGAGUUUUCCAUACUAAAACGUUUUAGUACCUUCUCUAAGUAAGUAUUCUGACUAAGUCCAAUUAGUCUCUUACUUCUUUCUCUUACUAUCCUUAUUCCCAAAAUGUAAGAAGCCUCUCCGAGGUCCUUCAUAGCGAAGCACUUCCCGAGCCAGGACUUAACCUCCUGCAGAGUCGGGAUGUCGUUUCCUAUGAGUAAUAUGUCAUCGACAUAUAGAACGAGGAAGCUUACUAUACUCCCACUGGCUUUGACAUAUACACAAGAUUCGUCUUCGCUUCGUACAAAUCCAAACUCUUUGACUUUCUCAUCGAAGCAAAGAUUCCAUCUGCGAGACGCUUGCUUAAGUCCAUAAAUGGACUUCUCAAGCUUACACACUCUAUUCGGAUGCUUCGGAUCCACAAACCCCUCUGGCUGAGCCAUGUAAACAUCCUCAGCCAACUUUCCGUUAAGGAAAGCGGUCUUGACAUCCAUUUGCCAAAUCUCAUAAUCAUGAAAUGCGGCAAUUGCUAGCAUCACUCUAAUAGAUUUAAUCUUCGCAACUGGUGAGAAGGUCUCAUCAUAGUCAACUCCGGGAGUUUGAGUAAAGCCCUUCGCAACCAAUCGCGCUUUAUAUGUGUGUACGUUUCCAUCCACGUCGGUCUUCUUCUUGAAGAUCCAUUUGCACCCAACGGUCUUACGUCCGGGCACAUAAUCAACCAAAUUCCAAACUUGGUUAUCAUACAUGGAUUGGAUCUCGCUAUCCAUUGCCUCUUUCCAUUUUGCAGACUCCGGGCCUGCCAUGGCUUCCUUAUAGCUAUUAGGUUCAUCAAGAUUUAUUAGUGUACCAUCACUAAUAUACGUGUCCCCUUCGGUAGUAAUAUGAAAACCAUAAAACUGGGGUUGAACUCUAACUCUAUCGGAACGUCUAAGAGGUAAGGAUUCGUCAAUCGGUUCAACCGGAGUUUCCUCCUCGGGUUGAAUGCCAGCGGUAGAGGUUCCUUCAUCUAUCGACUCUUGAAUCUCUUCAAGUUCGAUUUGCCUCCCACUGUCUCCUUGGCUUAUGAGUUCUCGCUCUCGGAAAACUCCUCUCCUCGCAACGAAGACAACAUUGUCCUUCGGUCUAUAGAAGAGAUAUCCAAAGGAUGUCUGCGGGUAGCCGAUGAAAAUACAUCGCUCACUUCGAGGUUCAAGCUUGUCGUGAGUAUCUCGUCUUACGAAAGCCUCGCAACCCCAAACCUUGAUAUGUGCCAACGAGGGAGCUUUCCCUGUCCACAUCUCGUGAGGUGUUUUGGCAACCUUCUUAGUAGGGACUCGGUUAAGGAUAUGGGCGGCAGUCUCUAAGGCAUACCCCCAAAAAGAGAUAGGUAGUGAAGCACGACUCAUCAUAGAGCGAACCAUAUCCAAUAAGGUUCGAUUACGCCUUUCUGCCACACCAUUCAACUGCGGUGUCCUAGGAGGCGUCAAUUGCGAAACUAUUCCACACUCCUUGAGAUAAUCGUGGAAUUCAAGACUUAGGUACUCUCCUCCUCGAUCGGAUCGAAGCAUCUUGAUUUUCCUGCCCAAUUGAUUCUCCACUUCAUUCUUGAACUCUUUGAACUUUUCAAAGGUUUCUGACUUUUGCUUGAUUAAGUAGAUAUACCCAUAUCUACUAUAGUCAUCGGUAAAAGUCACAUAGAAGCGGUUCCCAUCCUUCGUGGUUGAUCUAAACGGUCCACAUACAUCGGUAUGUAUUAGGUCCAAUAGACCCUCGCCCCUUUCACAUGUACUCGUGAAGGGUGACUUAGUCAUCUUUCCAAGCAAACAAGACUCGCAUGUGUCAUCUUCCCUAAGGUCGAAUGACUCCAACACUCCAUCCUUUUGGAGUUGGGCUAUGCGUUUCUUGUUGACAUGUCCAAGACGACAAUGCCACAAGGAUGCUUUAUCCAUACUAGUGGAAGAAUCAAUAUUCAAAACAUCAUUUCCUAAGUUAUCAACAAUCAUAACGGUUUCAUAUAUUCCAUUACAUGGUAUAGCUUCAAAGUAAAAGACACCAUUUAGAUAAGCCAAAAUAGAACCAUUCUCAUUAUUAAAAGAAAAUCUAAAUCCUUGUCUAUAUAAACCAUGAAAUGAAAUGAUGUUUCUAGCCAUUUCUGGCGAAUAGCAACAAUUGUUCAAAUCUAAAACCAAACUAUUCCUAAGCACUAAAGAAUACACUCCAAUCUUGGUCACAGGCGACGAUCUUCUGUUCCCCAUGAUUAGAUUGAUCCUUCCUUGCUCCACAUCCCUACUUCUUCUUAGUCCCUGCACAUUAGAACAAAUGUGAUAACCACAACCGGUAUCAAGAACCCAAGAAAUAGCAUGAUUAGAAUCGUUAGAUUUGAUUGUAUAUAUACCUGCGAAAGAUGGCUUGAUCUUUCCUUCUUUGAUUGCUUGCAGGUAAUCCGGGCAGCUUCUCUUCCAAUGUCCUAUCUUGUGGCAGUGGUGGCACUCUGCCUCCUUCGGGUUAGAGCAGGGCUUGGCGGGAUCAACUUUGGUCCCACUAGAAGAGGCACCAUCUCGGGCUUUCACCUUGCGAUAGUUCUUCGAUGAAGCUUUCCUCUUCUUUCCCUUCCCUUGUCCAAUAGCCAAGACAGGAGCAGCGGGCGGAUUGGGAGUAGGUGCAACAGACUUGUCCUUGAAGUUGCUCUCAGCAACCCUCAAGAGACCUUGGAGCUUGCUUAGGGUGACCUCUUCUUUGUUCAUGUGGUAGGUCAUCCUAAAUUGGUUGUACAUCGGAGGCAAAGAGUGAAGCACCAUGUCGAUCGCCAAGUCUUCACCGAAGUCAACAUUUAACUUGCGGAGGCGGUCAACAUACCUUUGCAUCUUUUGCAAGUGCACGGUAAGAGAUUCUCCAUGACCCAUCUUCGCGGAAAUCAUGUUAGUGAAAAUCUCGUACCUCUCUUGUCUCGCGUUUUGGUGGUACCUCUCCAAUAAGUCUUGAUGCAUCUCGUACGGGUACAUGUCCUCGUAGGACUUUUGGAAUUCGGAGUUCAUGGUGGCGAUCAUGAUGCAAUGUACCUUCGUUGCAUCUCGCUCAUGAGUUUCAAAGGCGGUGAUUUCGGCGGGAGUAGCAAUUUCGGGGUUGAUUUUCUCGAGCUUCUCAUCGAGGACAUACUCCUUAUCCUCAUAGCGAGCAAUGGUGCGAAUGUAUCUUAUCCAUUCGCUAAAGUUCGUUCCAUCGAAGGUGACCUUUUGGCAAAGGCUCAUCAACGUGAAAGAACUAGCAGCAGCGUUGUUUGCGUUCGACAUCUACAAUUAGAAAAGGACAAAGAUAGAUUAGAAUAAGAAUCCCUAAUUAUCACCCAAUAAGAAAAUUAGGGCUAGGAUCCAACAAUAACAUUUACAUACUAGAAAAGGGAUGCCGUAAUCUAACAUGCAAAUAAAUUGAAGGUAAGUGAAUGACGAUUCACUAAUUCUCCAUCACAAAACUUAAACUAUUAGUCCUAAGUGUUUUUGAGAAUUCCUAGGUUCGGAUGAGAUUCAUUGAAACUAUUCAAUGGCAUGUUUAAAUCUCGAUAUGCCCCUCUUGUUUGUGACUGGGAUGCCGAGGAUCACAAAGCGGGUGUGAAUUACCAUGCAAAUUCACAUGGUGCCUUCAUUGUAACAAUCACCUAUUCGAUGUGCCGGUAAACCACACACGCUCCAUCGAACUAUGAUAAACAAUGAAUCACCCUUUGCCACCUUCGCUUAGAACCAAUUAGUGUGCCGGUAAACCACACACGCUCCACUAACAUCUUAGCAAGGUGCAAAGUGUAAUUUCAUGGGAUUGCAUCAAUUCACUUUUCCUAAAGUAACUAGGAUUGGGAAAUUUUAAAAAAAUGUGUAGUUACUUUAUAUUUCUUAUUAUACUUUUAAUGAGAGGAUGAGGUUGCCCUAUCCUACCCGUUCGGCUAACGACCCUCCACCAAUCAAGCAAGCGGUGGGUGUGAGUGUACACCCAUUAAGCGCCAUUUUAUAGGCCGCAACCUUAUACCCACCUUAUAGAUCGGCUUCGUGAAUGAGGCCUACUAACGGUAAGACUAGCAUUUAGUUAUACAUAUAUAUAUUAUUCUAGUAAUAUCAUAUUAGUAUAGGGUUGUAUUUUAAAACUUUUAAAAUCUAGGGUUUGAAAUUUAAGUUGUCUAAAUUAAAACUUUUAAUCACAAAAGUAAAUUUCAAAACAUGAGGGUAGGUUUUAAACAUUUAAAACAUGGAGGAUCAAAUAACAAAUAAUUCCAAUUAACAAUUAAUAUCCUAAUUAUCUAUAUUUGAUUUAUUCAAGAUUUCUUUUAAAGAUAAUUACCAAAAUAAUCAAAAUAAUUAAUUAAUUAUCAUAUAAGGAAAUUAAAUAUUUAAUUAGUUGAUAAUUACCUUUAACUAGAUCAAGAUAAUAGUUAUAUUUAUCAGAAAAACGAAUUAAUGUUGAUCUAAUUAGUUUAUGGUAAGUUAAGAUAAGAUAAACACAAAGAAAUCCCGAAUCUGGCCAUUCCUGACGCCUGGACUCGCCGAGUGCACAAAUGGACUCGCCGAGUCAGGCCUACUCGCCGAGUCCACUUUGAGACUCGCCGAGUCCAUGACUCAGAAACCAAAAAUUCGAAUUUUGCAGGUUUGUUUCAGUUAAUCAAGCAACAAUUUACAGAAAACCAAGCUAGGCUCUGAUACCACUGAUGGGUUUUAGCCAUAAGAACUUUCCUAUGUGCGCAUGCAAAACCCUAAUGCUUGGAUCUAGGCUUUCUAAUAAACAUGCUUUGAAUCCAAGACUUCUAAUUACUAAUUAGGUUAAACAAGAACAUUAAAACAGAUCUAGAAUCAUACCUUUGAGUUCCUUGUUGAUCUUGAGGUCUUGGAGCUUCUAGAGUCACAAAUGUCACUCCUCUAAUCGCUUACAAACACCAGUAGCAAGGAAGAUGAUUUAGGAGAGAGGAGAGGGAAGGAAAUCGGCCAGGGUUCUCUUACUUUAGGAGAGAUAUCAAAUUCCCUAUGCCAUGGAGUCUAUUUAUACUUGUAGACUCCUUAAGGGUUACAACCUAAACCCUAAUUGGAUAAUCUUCUUUUAAGGCUAUCCAAAUCCUUUCCAUAGAUAAGCCUUUGGACAAUUUUAGCUAUCCUAUAUCUCAUAGAAUUCGUCCAUAGCAUAUCCAAAU